This 74-nucleotide transfer RNA is filed under the name Methanosarcinales archaeon. Its description in RNAcentral is "tRNA-Trp". It matches the Rfam family "tRNA". Rfam says of the family: Transfer RNA (tRNA) molecules are approximately 80 nucleotides in length. Their secondary structure includes four short double-helical elements and three loops (D, anti-codon, and T loops). Lineage: Archaea; Methanobacteriati; Methanobacteriota; Methanomicrobia; Methanosarcinales. The record is from RNAcentral.
GGGGCUGUAGCCUAGCCAGGAAGGGCGACGGGCUCCAGACCCGUAGGUCGUGUGUUCAAAUCACACCAGCCCCA